AUUGAACGCUGGCGGAAUGCUUUACACAUGCAAGUCGAACGGCAGCACGGGGGCAGCCCUGGUGGCGAGUGGCGCACGGGUGAGUAAUACAUCUGAACGUGCCCGGUCGUGGGGGAUAACGUAGCGAAAGAUCCGCUAAUACCGCAUACGAUCUGCGGAUGAAAGCGGGGGACCUUCGGGCCUCGCGCGAUCGGAGCGGCCGGUGUCAGAUUAGGUAGUUGGUGGGGUAAAGGCCUACCAAGCCGACGAACUGUAGCUGGUCUGAGAGGACGACCAGCCACACUGGCACUGAGACACGGCCCAGACUCCGACGGGAGGCAGCAGUGGGGAAUUUUGGACAAAGGGCGCAAGCCUGAUCCAGCCACUCCGCGUGCAGGACGAAGGCCUUCGGGUUGUAAACUGCUUUUGUACGGAACGAAAAGGCUCUGGCUAAUACCUGGGGCUCAUGACGGUACCGUAAGAAUAAGCACCGGCUAACUACGUG
This 484-nucleotide ribosomal RNA is filed under the name uncultured bacterium. Its description in RNAcentral is "partial 16S ribosomal RNA". It matches the Rfam family "Bacterial small subunit ribosomal RNA", at positions 29 to 507 of the family's 1533-position model. The record is from RNAcentral.